AAUUAGUAUUCUAUCAAAUUGACAAACACAUUUUUAAAAUUAGAGAUAUUUAAAAUCACAUAUAAAAGGAAAUAUCCAGGACAGACACAGAGAGGAAGUUUUAACAAAUCUACUGAAGAGAAAAGAUGGACAAUACAAGACUAUCACAUGUAUAAACAUACAGUUUGUUUCUUCUUAGACAAUACAGUUUCUUACUUCCAUAUAAAUUUGACAUCUAUUUGAUUUGAUCUGGGUCUAAUGCAAUUUUACAGUAGUAUUACAAUUCCCCUGGCACAGCCAGUUUACCUAACCAGAAUGUUCCUGGUUUCUGUACAAUUACUAAAUUGUUCUCUGCAAGCAAGUGACAAAUUCUCCAAAUGACCCUGAGGCGGAGGUCAAAUGACUUCAGAUACAUUGUCUCCAGUCAAAUAAACAAUGAGCACAUUCCUCACUCAAGUAUGAAAAUCCUGACUGCUGUAUCAGUUUCGGAUAGCAAACAAAAACUUAACAGAGUUUGAGGUGUGCUGCUAGAGCAAAGGAGUCUAAUAUCGACCCUCUUCUAUUAUCGACCCCCCACCCUUAAUUGAUACUUAAUCACAUUUAUUACUAGAAAUCAUGUGAUCAUGUUAUUCACUGUCAUUUUUACGUCACAAAUUUUCUUCAUGCGCCAUUUUGAAUGUUUACAUACAGUGUGACUGCAUGAGAUAAAUUUCAGUGCCAACCACUACAUCGUCCGUUAAGUGACAGUUAUGACGAUUUUGACGAUUCCUCUGAUGGACAAAAUGAUGAUGGACAGUGCAGACAGCUUAGACCAAUGUCAGGGGUGUGGUCAGUCUAAUGGGAAGCCAAAUGAGUGAAAAGGCUGUGAUGAAUGCCCAGGAUGGUGGCACAUUAAAUGUACUAAGCAACCAGAACUUCACUUGUUGACUC
This is a long non-coding RNA of Mercenaria mercenaria, 909 nucleotides long. RefSeq lists it as uncharacterized. The transcript has 2 exons. NCBI's taxonomy places the organism in Eukaryota, Metazoa, Mollusca, Bivalvia, Venerida, Veneridae. The record is from RefSeq and is a predicted model, not a curated record.